UUUUGGCAAUAUAUUUCUUUCACUGGAUCAUAUAGUAAACACAAGUAUAUUUACAACAAAUAGACCUCAAGUGUUACUAUACUUACUACCUUAGAGGAUGUUCAGUUUUCAAGUCGUCAGAUGCAUCGGUUUUAUGAGAUUUGUGUUCUUUCUUCCAAGAUCUUCUCCAUGUAUUUAGCAUGUUCUUCUAUCCGUAUUUGAAGUGACCUCUGUACCUACUCAUCCAGCAAUUGGUUGAGAGCAAAUCUUGAUUGAAACUCAGAUAACUGUAUGGCUCAAACUCUCAACAUUCAUCAGUUUCAUAACAGCCUCAAGAAUUUCUUCAGCAUAUUACAAAAACAACACCUGCUUAGAUCAACAUUUUGCAGCAAAAAAAACUCUCAAGAAGAGAAGAAAAACAAAAUUAUGAAUAUAUUUAAGAUUGGUUGUUGAAAUCACAUAAAAGUUAAACUCACUUUCAGGCCCUUCAAGAUUGUUCAUAUAGCUCAGGAAUCCAUCUCAUUCUUGGCUUGUUGUGGUUAACAGUUGAUCCUGGAGACAGUUCUGCAGGAACACAGUCUUGCCCAGGAUUAACUUGUUAAUAUCUCUUGUAUUAAUCAAACCAAAAAGGUAACAAAAUCUAAGGAGAGAAACUAACUCUGAAGAGUCUCAUGAGUUCUACUGCAUCCAAAAUAUUAAACAAUCAAUUCCUUUUUAUAAGAAAGCAAAAGACAGAAACAUUUAUUAUAUUAAGCUAAAAGAAUUGAUCACACAUAACAAAAAAAAAUAUGGAACUCGAUUCACUUUACUCGAUCGCACACUAAGAAUAUAAUCUUAUCACAAUUGCUUCCACAUCCAUCGAGAGAUUUAGCUUUCUCAUUCUUCUGUGAUUUUUCUCUAAUGGCAAACUCCAAGAAGCAAGCAUGGUGAAGAACAAAACACUCAUGUUU
This 929-nucleotide long non-coding RNA is filed under the name Capsella grandiflora. RNAcentral describes it as "long non-coding RNA (CGRA_LNC001480)". Lineage: Eukaryota; Viridiplantae; Streptophyta; Magnoliopsida; Brassicales; Brassicaceae. The record is from RNAcentral.